This is a long non-coding RNA of Mytilus californianus (California mussel), 970 nucleotides long. RefSeq lists it as uncharacterized. Lineage: Eukaryota; Metazoa; Mollusca; Bivalvia; Mytilida; Mytilidae. The record is from RefSeq and is a predicted model, not a curated record. The transcript is spliced from 4 exons.
UUACACAUUUCUUGAUGAAAAUAUUGAACAGAAAAAUUAUUAUUACGAUGAUUUGGAACGCGAAAAUGAACCUAGUGCAAGUUUAGUUUCCAAAACAGACGUAUACACGAUUAAAAGGGAAAACAGAGAUUCGUUGUAUGAAAAAAUCGGCAACACCUCUAGAAUACACAACACCUCACAACACACAAUUCCGAAACGGUUACGAGAAAUGAGUAAAUCUUCAGUCGAUAUUUACAACAAAUGCUUACAGACUGGUGUUGAAAGGCGAAAGAAGGUUCGAAUAGUUGUUGUGGGGCCAAAGCAGACUGGGAAAACUUGUCUUAUAAAAAGAUUAUUACGAAAAGGAAUUGAUGAUGUUGAACGUACAAGUGGUGUAGAAAUACACAUUUUGAAAUGCAAAGCUGAACUUCGAGACAGAAAAUGGAUCUGUCACGAAGAAUCUACGAUCCAAGAAAAUGUAAACUCUAGACUUCUGAGAACAAUUAUAGAAACCGCCAAAAAUAUAAAAGGAGUUGACGAGACAGAUGGGUUGGUUGGUCAGCAAGCUAAAAAGGCCAUAUAAGCAAAUUACAAUAAACAGAAAAUCUGCAUCGAACCUGACAAAUUUCAUCAAGCAUAUGAUAUACCUAAAUCUGCAGAUAUAAAAUCGAAUGUGACAGAAAACACUGGAUACAGUUACAACGAAGAUCUUCGUGACCUUAGUGAAAUUUUGAAGGCACCACUUGAUCUAGAAGACACCGUACAGAUUGAUUUCUUGGACUUUGCCGGUGAUCAAGAAUAUUAUAAUACGCACAAGGCCUUUCUGUCAAAAGAUGCAAUAUACAUUGUAACAUUCAAUGUUGCAGAAAAAGAAAAUGACAUCACUUCGGAUGAUGCAAGAUGUAAGCUCAUCUGAUUACUUUCAAUUACUUUAUUUAUGUAUCGUAUGCAAUAUUCUGACAUUAUUUUGUAUAAAAGAAUCUUAAGAGUA